Molecule: unclassified non-coding RNA, 395 nt
Filed under: Hevea brasiliensis (rubber tree)
Lineage: Eukaryota; Viridiplantae; Streptophyta; Magnoliopsida; Malpighiales; Euphorbiaceae
Source: RNAcentral
AGGUGACAUGACUGUGUACUUCCUUAUUCCGGAUUUCUUUGAAGGUGUGCCAGCUAGUAAGAGCUUGGCUUCAUCUAGAGUAUGCUUCUGCAUUUGGUGGCACUCUGUCAUAACCUUCCACAUUCUUCCUAACCCUUGCACUAAUUCUAAAAGCUGAGGUUGCAAUUCUUCAUCUCUUAAAGUUUCAAUCCUUCUCGAGAUAGAUUCAACAGAGUGGAUUGAAACCUUUAUCUGAGUAUCCAGAUUCCUAAUGGCUGCUCUCGUUUUAUCCACAGACGAAGGGUCUGCUCCAUUCACAUCUAGAUUUCUGAGUUGAGCCACUUUUUUCUCAUAGGCUAGCCGGAUCCGCUCACCUGCCCUGACUUCCUCAUAUAGUUUUUUCUCCCAGGCAUAUA